Molecule: ribosomal RNA, 492 nt
Filed under: uncultured bacterium
Lineage: Bacteria
Description: partial 16S ribosomal RNA
Rfam family: Bacterial small subunit ribosomal RNA
Source: RNAcentral
AGUGAACGCUGGCGGUAGGCCUAACACAUGCAAGUCGAGCGGCAGCACAGUAAGAGCUUGCUCUUACGGGUGGCGAGUGGCGGACGGGUUAGGAAUACAUCGGAAUCUACUUUUUCGUGGGGGAUAACGUAGGGAAACUUACGCUAAUACCGCAUACGACCUACGGGUGAAAGCAGGGGAUCUUCGGACCUUGCGCGAUUGAAUGAGCCGAUGUCGGAUUAGCUAGUUGGCGGGGUAAAGGCCCACCAAGGCGACGAUCCGUAGCUGGUCUGAGAGGAUGAUCAGCCACACUGGAACUGAGACACGGUCCAGACUCCUACGGGAGGCAGCAGUGGGGAAUAUUGGACAAUGGGCGCAAGCCUGAUCCAGCCAUACCGCGUGGGUGAAGAAGGCCUUCGGGUUGUAAAGCCCUUUUGUUGGGAAAGAAAAGCAGCAGGUUAAUACCCCGCUGUUCUGACGGUACCCAAAGAAUAAGCACCGGCUAACUUCGUG